UUGACAGUUUCACUCAUAUUUCACUCACUAAUUACUGUAACUAAAGUGAUAUUUCUUUUUGUCUCCAUAGAGAGAAAUUGAGAGAAUGUUUCGGCGUUUAAUUUCGUGGCUCCCUUGUGUGCCAAGGAAACGACGGAAUAAACCGAGAGAAUCUCUUGCGAUUGAAAGCGAUGAAGUCGGCGCGGUCGUCGUGGUAAGCAGAGAGGAACGGGUUAAUACAAUAUAAUGAUCACACUUUGCUCACUAUGUGCUUUUCCAGCCAUUUCAUUUACUUUUAUUUUUUACUAUUUUUGCUCGUUUAUUCUUGUAAUAAAACAUGAUUUUAUCCUUCCUAGAACCACCAAGAUGAACCCGCUGGCGACAUCAUUGUGGUAAGCAGCAAUUUGUAAAAACACAACUUUCCUGGUUAUUUGUGUUAUUGAAACCUUAUUAUUUACUGACCUAUAGAUUUAUAUGUGACUUUGUCACAGGCCCUUAAUAACGCUGAGAAUUUACUGGUAUAUUCACUACUGACCCCAUUCCCCCAUCAUUUCUACUUUCUCACUUUUAAAUCUAAACUACAAAAUCAUUCAUUACCACAAACCAUAUAUGGCACAUUCUAUAACAUAU
Molecule: long non-coding RNA, 609 nt
Organism: Xenopus tropicalis (tropical clawed frog)
Lineage: Eukaryota; Metazoa; Chordata; Amphibia; Anura; Pipidae
Exons: 3
Source: RefSeq, a predicted model, not a curated record